UACGUAGGGGGCGAGCGUUGUCCGGAUUCAUUGGGCGUAAAGAGCUCGUAGGCGGCUUGGCAAGUCGGGUGUGAAACCUCCAGGCUCAACCUGGAGACGCCACCCGAUACUGCCAUGGCUAGAGUCCGGUAGGGGACCACGGAAUUCCAGGUGUAGCGGUGAAAUGCGUAGAUAUGCGGAGGAACACCGAUGGCGAAGGCAAUCCCCUGGGCCUGCACUGACGCUCAUGCACGAAAGCGUGGGGAGCAAACAGG
Molecule: ribosomal RNA, 254 nt
Filed under: uncultured bacterium
Lineage: Bacteria
Description: partial 16S ribosomal RNA
Rfam family: Bacterial small subunit ribosomal RNA
Source: RNAcentral